AACUGAAGGUAAUCAAAUCAUAUUGCAAGCAUGAACAUGGUUUCGAAUUCCCCCCCUAGCUAAGGGGGGUUUAGUUCCUCAUACUCACAAAGCAAAGAUAAACAAAUUUAGACAUUGAAAACAAAAGAAUGAAAACACCUAAAAACGCUUCAACAAUCCAACUUGAAUGGCAAGCACGUCCAAGGGUCCUCCUUAUUCUCUUUGUUGCGGCACAAGGUGUGGUUUGAUGGAUGGGUGGUAAAUUAUGGUGGUGGAUGGAUAUAGGUGAGUUAUGGUGAAGGGUGGAUGGGUGGAUUGUGUUCUCUUGGCCAAGGAAUGAAAAUGUAAGUGUAUGGAGUUGUGAGAUGUGAAUGUAGUGUCUUUUGAUGGAUGUUUUCUCCUCCCUUUGUUAUGGUGAAGGGUGGAUGUAUUUAUAGGCUAGGGAGAGGACCACCAUCUAAUUAAGGUGGUAGUGGUGUAUGUGUUGGAAAUGUGCCCUAAAACCAAUCAUGUGAUGAUACUUUACGGACAUUUCACAUGUUAAACGAAUCUAGUUUAAUAUAAAGGGCAAAGAUUAUUGUUUG
Molecule: long non-coding RNA, 563 nt
Filed under: Malus domestica (apple)
Lineage: Eukaryota; Viridiplantae; Streptophyta; Magnoliopsida; Rosales; Rosaceae
Description: long non-coding RNA (MDOM_LNC019158)
Source: RNAcentral